This 513-nucleotide ribosomal RNA is filed under the name uncultured bacterium. Its description in RNAcentral is "bacterial SSU rRNA". It matches the Rfam family "Bacterial small subunit ribosomal RNA", at positions 29 to 528 of the family's 1533-position model. The record is from RNAcentral.
AACGAACGCUGGCGGCAGGCCUCAUACAUGCAAGUCGAGCGGACGGACCCCUUCGGGGGCGAGUUAGCGGCGAACGGGUGAGUAACAGGUGGAUGAUCUGCCUCCCGGUGGGGGAUAACGGCUGGAAACGGCCGCUAAUACCGCAUUCGGUUGAUGCGUUGCGGCGCAUCAAAGAAAGGCGCUUCACGGCGCUGCCGGGAGAUGAGUCCGCCCCCCAUUAGCUAGUUGGCGGGAUAACAGCCCACCAAGGCUUCGAUGGGUAGCCGAACUGAGAGGUUGAUCGGCCACACUGGAACUGAGACACGGUCCAGACACCUACGGGUGGCAGCAGUAGGGAAUAUUGGGCAAUGGGCGAAAGCCUGACCCAGCCAUGCCGCGUGAGUGACGAAGGUCCUAUGGAUUGUAAAGCUCUUUUCUGAGGAAAGAACAUCCGGGGUAGGAAAUGACCCCGGCUUGACGGUACCUCAGGAAUAAGGAACGGCUAACUCCGUGCCAGCAGCCGCGGUAAAACGU